GACAGGGGAAAACAGGAGAUCAAGGGGCUCCAGGACCACCGGGUCCACCUGGAACUUGUGAUGCUGAAGCUGUCAAGGGGAUGAAGGGUGACCCGGGGGUGGUUGCAGGA
Molecule: long non-coding RNA, 110 nt
Organism: Cyprinus carpio (common carp)
Lineage: Eukaryota; Metazoa; Chordata; Actinopteri; Cypriniformes; Cyprinidae
Exons: 3
Source: RefSeq, a predicted model, not a curated record